Molecule: non-coding RNA, 943 nt
Filed under: Cacophis squamulosus
Lineage: Eukaryota; Metazoa; Chordata; Lepidosauria; Squamata; Elapidae
Source: RNAcentral
CUAAUUUUUAACACAAGGUCUUGGUCUUAAACCUCCAAUUGUCUAAACUCCAUGCUUAUACAUGCAAGCCUCAACACAACAGUGAAACAGCCCACCACAACCACCCUUUUUAGAGCCGGUAUCAGGCCAACCCCCACAACACCAAGCAAUCAGCCACGCCCCCACGGGCCCACAGCAGUAGUUAAUAUUGGGCCAUAAGCGAAAGCUUGACCCAGCAACGGAGCCCGAGGGCCGGUUAAUCUCGUGCCAGCGACCGCGGUUACACGACAGACCCAAGACAACACCCCCGGCGUAAAGCACGACUAAAACUCACGUUACCUUACUUAAGGUUAAAGACAAGCUGGGCUGUAAAAAGCCAUAAGCUUGCACCAGACACAUACCCUAGUAUCCAAACAACUUCAACUCGUGAAAGCCAGGAUACAAACUAAGAUUAGAUACCUUACUAUGCCUAGCCAUAACAAGACAGUCAAAUAAACCAACUGUCCGCCAAAUAACUACGAGUAAAAACUUAAAAUUUAAAAGACUUGACGGUACUUCACACCAACCUAGAGGAGCCUGUCCAAUAACCGAUAAUCCACGAUUAACCCAACCCCCUCUAGCCCUCCAGUCUAUAUACCGCCGUCGCCAGCUUACCUUGUGAAAGUAACAAAGUAAGCCCAAUAACUUCACCAUUAACACGACAGGUCGAGGUGUAACUAAUGAGCGGGACCAAGAUGGGCUACAUUUUCUAACCCAGAACAAACGAACAGACUAUGAAACUAGAAACUGAAGGCGGAUUUAGCAGUAAAAUGGGAACACACACACCCAACCGAAAUUAACGCAAUGAAGUGCGCACACACCGCCCGUCAUCCCUGCAGAACACACACCCCAUCCAUAAACAACCACCGUUUCACUAAAGCAGGGCAAGUCGUAACAUGGUAAGUGUACUGGAAAGUGUACUUAG